GAUGAACGCUGACAGAAUGCUUAACACAUGCAAGUCUACUUGAACUUCGGUUUGGGUGGCGGACGGGUGAGUAACGCGUAAAGAACUUGCCUCACAGAUAGGGACAACAUUUGGAAACGAAUGCUAAUACCUGAUAUUAUGAUUUUAGGGCAUCCUAGAAUUAUGAAAGCUAUAUGCACUGUGAGAGAGCUUUGCGUCCCAUUAGCUAGUUGGAGAGGUAACGGCUCACCAAGGCGAUGAUGGGUAGCCGGCCUGAGAGGGUGAUCGGCCACAAGGGGACUGAGACACGGCCCUUACUCCUACGGGAGGCAGCAGUGGGGAAUAUUGGACAAUGGACCAAGAGUCUGAUCCAGCAAUUCUGUGUGCACGAUGAAGUUUUUCGGAAUGUAAAGUGCUUUCAGUUGGGAAGAAAAAAAAUGACGGUACCAACAGAAGAAGUGACGGCUAAAUACGUG
This 455-nucleotide ribosomal RNA is filed under the name uncultured bacterium. Its description in RNAcentral is "partial 16S ribosomal RNA". It matches the Rfam family "Bacterial small subunit ribosomal RNA", at positions 28 to 507 of the family's 1533-position model. The record is from RNAcentral.